ACCUGCCUUCAGGAUGGGGACAACAGACGGAAACGACUGCUAAUACCGAAUACGCUUGGAAGACCGCAUGAUCUUCCAAGGAAAGGGUGGCCUCUACCUGUAAGCUAUCGCCUGAAGAGGGGUUUGCGUCUGAUCAGGCAGUUGGUGAGGUAACGGCCCACCAAACCUACGAUCAGUAGCCGGUCUGAGAGGAUGAACGGCCACACUGGAACUGAGACACGGUCCAGACUCCUACGGGAGGCAGCAGUGGGGAAUAUUGCACAAUGGGGGAAACCCUGAUGCAGCGACGCCGCGUGGAGGAAGAAGGUCUUCGGAUUGUAAACUCCUGUUAUUGAGGAAGAUAAUGACGGUACUCAACAAGGAAGUGACGGCUAACUACGUGCCAGCAGCCGCGGUAAAACGUAGGUCACAAGCGUCGUCCGGAAUUACUGGGUGUAAAGGGAGCGCAGGCGGGAGAACAAGUUGGAAGUGAAAUCCAUGGGCUCAACCCAUGAACUGCUUUCAAAACUGUUUUUCUUGAGUAGUGCAGAGGUAGGCGGAAUUCCCGGUGUAGCGGUGGAAUGCGUAGAUAUCGGGAGGAACACCAGUGGCGAAGGCGGCCUACUGGGCACCAACUGACGCUGA
RNAcentral lists this ribosomal RNA (624 nucleotides) under uncultured bacterium. RNAcentral's name for it is "bacterial SSU rRNA". It matches the Rfam family "Bacterial small subunit ribosomal RNA", at positions 124 to 749 of the family's 1533-position model. The record is from RNAcentral.